RNAcentral lists this transfer RNA (63 nucleotides) under Ruditapes philippinarum (Manila clam). RNAcentral describes it as "tRNA-Ala". The record is from RNAcentral. Lineage: Eukaryota; Metazoa; Mollusca; Bivalvia; Venerida; Veneridae.
AAACUAGUACUUUAAUUAAAAGAUUAGUAUUGCAAUCUAACAUUGGUUUUAUACCCUAGUUUA